Pelobates cultripes (western spadefoot toad) is the source of this 221-nucleotide non-coding RNA. NCBI's taxonomy places the organism in Eukaryota, Metazoa, Chordata, Amphibia, Anura, Pelobatidae. The record is from the annotation of a GenBank genome assembly.
AUUAAAAAGAGGAAAGAGAAAUUCUACCUCCGUACUGAAACAUUCACAGGUCUUCCAAUGGGUAUUAACGUUACAUGAUAACAUAUUAACCCAUCCACAUUAUUCUUUUAAAGUGAUUUAUGGAAAGACGUGUUGAGUGCCCCAUUAAUUAUUGUCAUGAUUCUAGAAGGUUAACCUCUUUUAUGCCAAGGGGUUUCUUCCUGGUGGCUGUUGGUGUCGGA